RNAcentral lists this ribosomal RNA (440 nucleotides) under uncultured bacterium. Its description in RNAcentral is "partial 16S ribosomal RNA". It matches the Rfam family "Bacterial small subunit ribosomal RNA", at positions 338 to 795 of the family's 1533-position model. The record is from RNAcentral.
CCUACGGGAAGCAGCAGUAGGGAAUAUUGCUCAAUGGGGGAAACCCUGAAGCAGCAACGCCGCGUGGAGGAUGAAGGUUUUCGGAUUGUAAACUCCUUUUGUUAGAGAAGAUAAUGACGGUAUCUAACGAAUAAUCACCGGCUAACUUCGUGCCAGCAGCCGCGGUACUACGGAGGGAGCAGGCGUUACACGGAAUAACUGGGCGUAAAGAGCGUGUAGGCGGGUUGACAAGUCAGAUGUGAAAUCCUUCGGCUUAACCAUAGAACUGCAAUUGAAACUGUUAGUCUAGAGUAUGGUUGAGGUAGGUGGAAUUCUUGGUGUAGCGGUAAAAUCCUUAGAGAUCAAGAUGAAUUCUGAUUGCGAAGGCAGCCUGCUAGAACACCACUGACGCUGAUGCGCGAAAGCGUGGGGAGCAAACAGGAUUAGAUACCCCAGUAGUC